Molecule: ribosomal RNA, 433 nt
Filed under: uncultured bacterium
Lineage: Bacteria
Description: partial 16S ribosomal RNA
Rfam family: Bacterial small subunit ribosomal RNA
Source: RNAcentral
AACGAACGCUGGCGGCAUGCCUAACACAUGCAAGUCGAACGAGACCUUCGGGUCUAGUGGCGCACGGGUGCGUAACGCGUGGGAACCUGCCCUUAGGUUCGGAAUACCUCUCCGAAAGGGGUGCUAAUACCGGAUAAUGUCUUCGGACCAAAGAUUUAUCGCCCUUGGAUGGGCCCGCGUUGGAUUAGCUAGUUGGUAGGGUAAAAGCCUACCAAGGCGACGAUCCAUAGCUGGUCUGAGAGGAUGAUCAGCCACACUGGGACUGAGACACGGCCCAGACUCCUACGGGAGGCAGCAGUGGGGAAUAUUGGACAAUGGGCGAAAGCCUGAUCCAGCAAUGCCGCGUGAGUGAUGAAGGCCUUAGGGUUGUAAAGCUCUUUUACCCGGGAUGAUAAUGACAGUACCGGGAGAAUAAGCUCCGGCUAACUCCGUG